This 800-nucleotide ribosomal RNA is filed under the name Bacillus tequilensis. RNAcentral's name for it is "bacterial SSU rRNA". It matches the Rfam family "Bacterial small subunit ribosomal RNA", at positions 31 to 818 of the family's 1533-position model. Lineage: Bacteria; Bacillati; Bacillota; Bacilli; Caryophanales; Bacillaceae. The record is from RNAcentral.
GAAUGGGGGGGUGCUAUACAUGCAAGUCGAGCGGACAGAUGGGAGCUUGCUCCCUGAUGUUAGCGGCGGACGGGUGAGUAACACGUGGGUAACCUGCCUGUAAGACUGGGAUAACUCCGGGAAACCGGGGCUAAUACCGGAUGGUUGUUUGAACCGCAUGGUUCAAACAUAAAAGGUGGCUUCGGCUACCACUUACAGAUGGACCCGCGGCGCAUUAGCUAGUUGGUGAGGUAACGGCUCACCAAGGCAACGAUGCGUAGCCGACCUGAGAGGGUGAUCGGCCACACUGGGACUGAGACACGGCCCAGACUCCUACGGGAGGCAGCAGUAGGGAAUCUUCCGCAAUGGACGAAAGUCUGACGGAGCAACGCCGCGUGAGUGAUGAAGGUUUUCGGAUCGUAAAGCUCUGUUGUUAGGGAAGAACAAGUACCGUUCGAAUAGGGCGGUACCUUGACGGUACCUAACCAGAAAGCCACGGCUAACUACGUGCCAGCAGCCGCGGUAAUACGUAGGUGGCAAGCGUUGUCCGGAAUUAUUGGGCGUAAAGGGCUCGCAGGCGGUUUCUUAAGUCUGAUGUGAAAGCCCCCGGCUCAACCGGGGAGGGUCAUUGGAAACUGGGGAACUUGAGUGCAGAAGAGGAGAGUGGAAUUCCACGUGUAGCGGUGAAAUGCGUAGAGAUGUGGAGGAACACCAGUGGCGAAGGCGACUCUCUGGUCUGUAACUGACGCUGAGGAGCGAAAGCGUGGGGAGCGAACAGGAUUAGAUACCCUGGUAGUCCACGCCGUAAACGAUGAGUGCUA